Molecule: long non-coding RNA, 4196 nt
Filed under: Ananas comosus (pineapple)
Lineage: Eukaryota; Viridiplantae; Streptophyta; Magnoliopsida; Poales; Bromeliaceae
Description: long non-coding RNA (ACOM_LNC044183)
Source: RNAcentral
AAUCGAACAAAGAGUAAAACCUAAUUAUCUUGUUCUAUUAUGCCCCGAGAGUGUAAAUUUCAAAUGAAUCGAUGUCAAUGUUCACAAGAACCAAAACCAGAACAACAUUAGACUACUCAGUUGCGCCCUAACAGUAUAACAUUGCAACAAAUACUUUUUCUCAUUCAAUCGAACAAAGAGUAAAAUCUAAUUAUAUUGUUCUAUUAUGCCCCGAGAGUGCAAAUUUCGAUCGAAUCAAUGUCAACGUUCACAAGAACCAAAACUGGAACAACAUUAAACUGCACAGUUGCGCCCUAACAGUAUAACUUUGCAACGAGUACUUUUUCUCAUUCAAACAAACAAAGAGUAAAAACCUAAUUAUAUUGUUCUAUUAUGCGCCGAGAGUGUAAUAGUAGAACGAAACGAUAUCAAAGUUCACAAGAACCAAAACCGGAACAACAUUAGACUACUCGGUUGCGCCCUAACAUGAUAACUUUGCAACGAGUGCUUUUUCUUAUUCAAUAAAACAAAGUGUUAAACCUAAUUAUAUUGUUCUAUUUCGCCCCGAGAGUGUAAAUUUCGAACGAAUCGAUGUCAACGUUCACAAGAACGAAAACCGGAACAUUAUUAGACAACUCAGUUGCGCCCUAACAGUAUAACUUUGCAACGAGUACUUUUUCUCAUUCAAACAAACAAAGAGUAAAAACCUAAUUAUAUUGUUCUACUAUGCCCCGAGAGUGUAAUAGUGGNNNNNNNNNNNNNNNNNNNNNNNNNACUUUGCAACGAGUAUUUUUUCUCAUUCAAACAAACAAAGAGUAAAAACCUAAUUAUAUUGUUCUAUUAUGCCCCGAGAGUGUAUUAGUGGAACGAAACGAUAUCAAAGUUCACAAGAACCAAAACCGGAACAACAUUAGACUACUCGGUUGCGCCCUAACAUUAUAACUUUGCAACGAGUGCUUUUUCUUAUUCAAUAAAACAAAGUGUAAAACCUAAUUAUAUUGUUCUAUUUUGCCCGGAGAGUGUAAAUUUCGAACGAAUCGAUCUCAACGUUCACAAGAAUGAAAAUCGGAACAACAUUAGAUUACUCAGUUGCUGUCACGCCCCGACCGCACGGCCCGAAAACGGUACCUAGUGGGUCCGGUUUGAGGGCGGCGGCGCGACCGACGAACGAACAGAGUUUCCUCUGUCCGCCCAAGGCUAAGCAACAGAUUGUGUACAACAAGUCCCCAGGAAAAACAACUUGCAUUCAUACACAAUCAACAACGAAACGAAAGCACAACAGUGCUACAACCAACUAGAGCAAGCGAUACAAGUAAAACCAUACAAGUAUACAAAAGAGAGAAACUUAGCUAAUUGAGACAUAAUUGAAAUAUUAAACAUCUUUCGAUAUCAUUUGAACUUUAAUCAUUUAAUACAACUUGCAUUCUAUUUCAAAAUGUAAAAUACAUCAUAUGCUCUCCAAAACCUCAUCCUAUACAUCAACUACUCUCAACAUAUAAAAGCAUAGGCACAGCGUAGAGCUAAUGCAAGUAGGUAAAGUAAGCUAUCUAGCAAAAGCUAGGGCGCUUUGCCCUUACCGCGAUCCAUCGAUAAAGGCCCGCUGUCCUGUGUACCUGUACCCCCAAAACCACAUGGGGGUGAGAACUACGAAUAGUUCCCAGUGGGUUCGGCCGCCGACUCCGCCGGUCUACCCACUAGGUCUUAAGCAGGCAUAGAUAUAUAUAUAUAUAUAUAAAACUAUAUAUAUAUAUGCAAUAUAUAUAAAACUAAGCUGAACGGAAAACAGUUAUGUAAACAACUAUAUCAAGCUAUGUCUCAAUCUGGAAUCAUGAAUGCAUGAGCAAUAAAUAAGCUGGGUAGGUUAGCAACUAUAAACAUCUAUCACAGCUAUCAUAGUAAGCUAUAAAAAUAUGCUACUGGAAAAGCAAAUAAGCUGAUAUGAACAAUGAGUAGUUACUAUGAACAUCAAUCGUGGGUAAGAAUCAAUGGGUAACCCAAUCUCCAANGCUUGCUUGUGAACCUUGCGUUCACUUGGAGAUUGGGUUACCCAUUGAUUCUUACCCACGAUUGAUGUUCAUAGUAGCUACUCAUUGUUCAUAUCAGCUUAUUUGCUUUCCCAGUAGCAUGUUUUUAUAGCUUACUAUGAUAGCUGUGAUAGAUGUUUAUAGUUGCUUACCUACCCAGCUUAUUUAUUGUUCAUAUAUUCAUGAUUCCAGAUUGAGGCAUAGCUUGAUAUAGUUGUUUACAUACCUGCUUUUAGUUCAGCUUAGUUUUAUAUAUAUUGCAAAUAUAUAUAUAUAUAUAUAUAUAUAUAUCUCUCUCUAUGCCUGCUUAAGACCUAGUGGGUUGAUCGGCGGAAUCGGCGGCCGAACCCACUGGGAACUAUUCGUAGUUCUCACACCCUCGUUACACGUACUAGCUCGAGCGUUCCGACCGUGCGGGAGGAUCGUGGCAAGGGCUUAGUGUAAGAUAUCGAAAUUCGACGAUAUUGGCUAACUUUGGCCAAAAGGACCAAAGCGGGCGAUUAAACGAUUUGGACAAGUUCCAUUUGGUAUUUCAACAUGUUUGGAAGAGUAAAAAUGAGUUCCAAAAGUGUUGGAAUAGUUUUAGCGUUGUUGGACGCGAAAAGAAAUCGAAACAGAUCGAAAAACAGCUUUCUGGAGCUGGUGUACCGGUACACGCAUGAUGGCUGUACCGGUACAGCCAUCGCUGCCAGACUGCGCAGCCCUCGGGUUUGCUCUCGGGUUUGGCCGUUACGCAGGGCGCGUACCGGUACGCAAACCCGUGUACCGGUACACGAGCGCGCAGCAGCGGGUUAAGUUGCAAAAUCUGAUAAAAGGAGGGCUUUUUAGCAUUUUGUUACAAUAGGUAACUUAACCCCCUCACUCUCAGCUCUCUCCUCUCUCACUCCCACAGCCCCUCUCUCUCUCUAGCUCUCUCUCUCUCUCUAACCGGUUGGGAGAAAANNNNNNNNNNNNNNNNNNNNNNNNNNNNNNNNNNNNNNNNNNNNNNNNNNNNNNNNNNNNNNNNNNNNNNNNNNNNNNNNNNNNNNNNNNNNNNNNNNNNNNNNNNNNNNNNNNNNNNNNNNNNNNNNNNNUGCUUUGAGAGUAGAUGAUGUAUAGGGUGAGGUUUUGGAGAGCAUAUGAUGUAUUUUUAUUUUGGAAAAAGAAUGCAGGUUGUAUUAAAGAUUUAAAGUUUAAAUGAUAUCGAAAGAGGUUUAAUGUUUCAAAUAUGUUUAAAUAGUUAAGUUUCUCUCUUUUGUAUACUUGUAUGAUUUUACUUGUAUCGCUUGCUCUAGUUGGUUAUAGCACUGUUUGUGCUUUCACUUCGUUGUUGAUUGUGUAUGAAUGCAAGUUGUUUUCCUGGGGACUUGUUGUACACAAUCCGUUGCUUAGCCUUGGGCGGACAGGGGAGACUCUGUCCGUUCGGCGGUCGCGCACGCCGCCCUCGAAUCGGACCAAAUUGGUACCGUUUUCGGGUGGUGCGGUCUGGGGCGUGACACUUAGCGCCCUAGCAGUUGGUUGAUAGCUUUACCUUUCCUACUUGCAUUAGCUCUACCCUGUACUUUUGUUACAUUAUGAGAGUAGAUAUUGUAUAGGGGGGGUUUUGGAGAGCAUAUGAAGUAUUUUACAGUUUGAAAUAGAAUGCAAGUUGUAUUAAAUGAUUAAAGUUUAAAUGAUAUCGAAAGAGGUUUGAUAUUUCAAUUAUGUCUCAAUUAGCUAAGUUUCUUUCUUUUGUAUACUUGUAUGGCUUUACUUGUAUCGCGUGCUCUAGUUGGUUGUAGCACUGUUGUGCUUUCGUUUCGUUGUCGAUUGUGUAUGAAUGCAAGUUAUUUUUUCUGGGGACUUGUGUACACAAUCUGUUGCUUAGCCUUGGGCGGACACGGGAAACUCUGUUCGUUCGGCGGUCGCGCCGCCGCCCUCGAACCGGACCAAAUAGGUACCGUUUACGGGCCGUGCGGUCGGGGCGUGACAAAAAACCUAAUUAUAUUGUUCUACUAUGCCCCGAGAGUGUAAUAGUGGAACGAAACGAUGUCAGCAUUCACAAGAACCAAAACCGGAACAAUAUUAGACUAUUAAGUAGCGCCCUAACAGUAUAACUUUGCAACGAGUACUUUUUCUCAUUCAAUCGAACAAAGAGUAAAACCUAAUUAUCUUGUUCUAUUAUGCCCCGAGAGUGUAAAUUUCGAACGAAUCGAUGUCAACGUUCACAAGAAC